RNAcentral lists this ribosomal RNA (418 nucleotides) under uncultured bacterium. RNAcentral's name for it is "bacterial SSU rRNA". It matches the Rfam family "Bacterial small subunit ribosomal RNA", at positions 55 to 470 of the family's 1533-position model. The record is from RNAcentral.
CUGCAAGUCGAACGGUAACGCGGGGCAACCUGGCGACGAGUGGCGAACGGGUGAGUAAUACAUCGGAACGUGCCCAGUAGUGGGGGAUAGCCCGGCGAAAGCCGGAUUAAUACCGCAUACGACCUACGGGUGAAAGCGGGGGACCGCAAGGCCUCGCGCUAUUGGAGCGGCCGAUGUCAGAUUAGGUAGUUGGUGGGGUAAAGGCCUACCAAGCCUACGAUCUGUAGCUGGUCUGAGAGGACGACCAGCCACACUGGGACUGGGACACGGCCCAGACUCCUACGGGAGGCAGCAGUGGGGAAUUUUGGACAAUGGGCGCAAGCCUGAUCCAGCCAUGCCGCGUGCGGGAAGAAGGCCUUCGGGUUGUAAACCGCUUUUGUCAGGGAAGAAACGCUCUGGGCUAAUAUCCCUGGGGUAA